This is an RNA transcript of Ornithorhynchus anatinus (platypus), 2639 nucleotides long. It is a transcript of the gene named TBC1 domain family member 17, with no coding region annotated. NCBI's taxonomy places the organism in Eukaryota, Metazoa, Chordata, Mammalia, Monotremata, Ornithorhynchidae. The record is from RefSeq and is a predicted model, not a curated record. The transcript has 19 exons.
CAACCUCGGCCGGUGGAGGGAGGGGCCGCACGUGACUUUGGCGUUUCCCCGGAAGGGGCGGGGCCUCCGCCGUGGCGAUGGAGUCGACCGGCCACCGGGUGGUCUUUGAGAAAUCGGGCGUUUUCCUCCACACGAGCGCCAAGCCCCGCCAGGAUCCCGACUCUCUCAUCGCUGGGGUCAUCCGCCUCGUGGAGAAGGACUCAGACGUCCUACUGCACUGGGCCCCGGUGGAAGAAGCCGGAGAUGGGACACAGAUCAUCUUUUCCAAGAAGGAGCCGACAGGCGGGGAGUCUUGCCCGCCCGAGGAGGACCUCUUCGACCCUGGCUACGAGCCCGACUGGGCCGUCAUCAGCCCCGUGGGAGCCCGGUUCCGGGCCCAGGAGCCGGGCACCGGCGCAGGGGCCGGUGCGUCCCGGCCGUCGUGGGCCUUCUCCCUGAGGCUGGCGGAGCUCAAGUCGAUCCGCCGCUCCAAGCCCGGGCUGGGCUGGGCCUACCUCGUGCUGGUCACUCAGGCCGGGGGCUCCUUGCCCGCCCUCCACUUCCACCGCGGGGGGACGCGGUCCCUGCUCCGGGCCCUCAGCAGAUACCUGAUCCUCGCCAGCUCCCCCCAGGAUUCCCGCCUCUACCUCGUCUUCCCCCACGACUCCUCCGCCCUCUCUAACUCCUUCCACCAGCUGCAUCUCUUCGAUGAGGACAGCUCCAACGUGGUCUCCCGUUUCCUCCAAGACCCUUACGCCGCCACCUUCGGAGGCUUCUCGCGCGUCACCAACUUCUUCCGCGGUGCCCUGCAGCACCCCCACGACGGGAGCCCCCCGCCCGGCCUCCUGGGCCCCGAGGACGAGCCCGAGCCCGGCUUCGAGGUCAUCUCCUGCGUGGAGCUGGGCCCCCGGCCGGCCGUGGUCCGGGGCGCCCCCGUGACGGAGGAGGAAUGGGCGGAGCACGUUGACGCGGACGGGCGGCUGAAGGACGUGCCCGAACUGAAGGCCCGGAUCUUCUCCGGGGGCCUGCACCCCUCUCUGCGGAAGGAGGCCUGGAAAUACCUCCUGGGCUACUUGAGCUGGGAGGGCAGCGGCGAGGAGCACAGGGCCCAGCUGCGGAGGAAGACGGACGAGUACUUCCGCAUGAAGCUGCAGUGGAAAUCCGUGAGCGAAGAGCAGGAGAAGAGGAACUCCCUGCUCCGUGGAUACCGCAGCCUGAUCGAGCGGGACGUCAGCCGGACCGAUCGGAACAACAAGUUCUACGAGGGGCCCGACAACCCCGGCCUGGGGCUGCUCAAUGAUAUUCUGCUGACCUACUGCAUGUAUCACUUCGACCUGGGUUACGUCCAGGGCAUGAGCGACCUCCUCUCCCCGAUCCUCUUCGUCACCCAGAACGAGGUCGACGCUUUCUGGUGUUUCUGUGGUUUCAUGGAGCUUGUGCACGGAAACUUCGAAGAGAGUCAGGACAGCAUGAAGCGCCAGCUGGGCCAGCUGACCCUGCUGCUGAGAGUCCUCGACCCCCCGCUCUGCGACUUUCUGGACUCCCAGGAGUCAGGAUCCCUCUGCUUCUGCUUCCGCUGGAUCCUGAUCUGGUUCAAGCGGGAGUUCGCCUUCCCCGACGUGCUGCGGCUGUGGGAGGUCCUGUGGACGGGCCUCCCUGGCCCCAACUUCCACCUGCUCGUGGCCUGUGGGAUCCUGGAUGCUGAGAGAGACGCCCUCAUGACGUCGGGCUUUGGCUCCAAUGAGAUCCUCAAGCACAUCAACGAGCUGACUAUGACGAUGAGCGUGGAGAAGAUCUUAACGCGGGCCGAGGAGCUGUAUCGGCAGCUGGCUGCCUGCCCGGAGCUGCCCCUCAACGUCCAGGAGAUCCUGGGCCUGGCCGCGGCUCCCCCGGCAACCCCUGCCAGCCCUUCCUCUCCGGCACCCGUCUUCCUCCUGUCCCCGGGGGUCCCAUCCCCCGGCCCCCCUCCGCCUGCCACGCAACCGCCCCGCCGGUCAGAGAGCAGCCCGGGGACCCCCCCACCGGACACCGCCCCCGACCCCUGAUUCCGGCCCGCCUCCUCCCCAGCACGUGCACUUUACCUCCCCCCCGGCCCGACCCCCGCACCCCACCCCUCUUCCCCCCAAGCCCACCGUUGUCAUCUCUGAACCUGACCCUGGGGGGGUCUCACCCCCUCCCGGCGAAUACCCGGAAGGAAGGGGGUGAGCACACGCCUCCCAGAAUCUUCUUCACCUCGGAACGCCCCGGAUCUUCGGCCCCCGCCACUCCCGACGACUCCCGUGGCCGACUGCGUUAACCGGAAUCGCUGUCCGGGCCUCCUGCCUGGGCGGCGGGGACAGAGCGGUGCCAGGAGGGGUGAGGAUCCCCCCAGUCCUCCCCCAACCCCGGGACCGGCCGUCGCCAAUUCUUUCUGGAUCCUGGGUGGGGGCGGGGCUGACCUGAGGCCCAGAAGAGAAGACGAGGGAACCGAGGCACAGAGAAGCGAAGAGACCGGCCCAAGAUCUCACGGCAGACGAGCGGCGGAGCCGGGAUGGGAGUAGGAACUGGGAUCGGGAGUUGGAGUCCGGCCGGAAGGAGGGGGAGGGCGGCGAGGCUGAGCCUGGAAGUUGGGGGGAGCAUCACGAGGUGAGAAUGAGGAGCCAGGGCUAGGCCGGAUCGUU